This 500-nucleotide long non-coding RNA is filed under the name Homo sapiens (human). Its description in RNAcentral is "non-protein coding lnc-COX14-2:1". Lineage: Eukaryota; Metazoa; Chordata; Mammalia; Primates; Hominidae. The record is from RNAcentral.
CGAGUGCUGCGUUCGGCUGUGCUGGGAAGUUGCGUAGACAGUGGCCUCGAGACCCUGCCUGCCUGAGGAGGCCUCGGUUGGAUGCGAAGGAGCUGCAGCAUCCAGAGACUAUGGAAGAGAGUACCUGGAUCUAGUUUAUUCCAAAGACAGACAAGCAGUUUGUGCCUCCACUCCAGGAUGACUAACUACAACGAUUACACGUAAAAAGACAAAACAAGGCCGGGCGCGGCGGUUCACGCUUGUAAUCCCAGCACUUUGGGAGGCCGAGGCAGGCGUAUUACGAGGUCAGGAGAUCGAGACCUUCCUGGCUAAGACGGUGAAUCCCCGUCUCUACUAAAAAUACAAAAAAUUAGCCGGACAUGGUGGCGGGCGCCUGUAGUUUCAGCUACUCGGGAGACUGAAGCAGGAGAAUGGCGUGAACCCGAGAGGCGGAGCUUGCAGUGAGCUGAGAUCGCGCCACUGCACUCCAGCCUGGGCGACAGAGCGAGACUCCGUCUCAA